GAUGAACGCUGGCGGCGUGCCUAAUACAUGCAAGUCGAGCGAACGGACGAGAAGCUUGCUUCUCUGAUGUUAGCGGCGGACGGGUGAGUAACACGUGGAUAACCUACCUAUAAGACUGGGAUAACUUCGGGAAACCGGAGCUAAUACCGGAUAAUAUUUUGAACCGCAUGGUUCAAAAGUGAAAGACGGUCUUGCUGUCACUUAUAGAUGGAUCCGCGCUGCAUUAGCUAGUUGGUAAGGUAACGGCUUACCAAGGCAACGAUGCAUAGCCGACCUGAGAGGGGAUCGGCCACACUGGAACUGAGACACGGUCCAGACUCCUACGGGAGGCAGCAGUAGGGAAUCUUCCGCAAUGGGCGAAAGCCUGACGGAGCAACGCCGCGUGAGUGAUGAAGGUCUUCGGAUCGUAAAACUCUGUUAUUAGGGAAGAACAUAUGUGUAAGUAACUGUGCACAUCUUGACGGUACCUAAUCAGAAAGCCACGGCUAACUACGUG
This 496-nucleotide ribosomal RNA is filed under the name uncultured bacterium. RNAcentral describes it as "partial 16S ribosomal RNA". It matches the Rfam family "Bacterial small subunit ribosomal RNA", at positions 28 to 507 of the family's 1533-position model. The record is from RNAcentral.